AGUGAACGCUGGCGGCAGGCCUAAUACAUGCAAGUCGAACGGCAGCACAGUGGAGCUUGCUCCAUGGGUGGCGAGUGGCGGACGGGUGAGGAAUACAUGGGAAUCUGCCCAGUCGUGGGGGAUAACGUAGGGAAACUUACGCUAAUACCGCAUGCGCCCUUCGGGGGAAAGCCGGGGACCUUCGGGCCUGGCGCGAUUGGAUGAGCCCAUGUUCGAUUAGCUAGUUGGCGGGGUAAAGGCCCACCAAGGCGACGAUCGAUAGCUGGUCUGAGAGGAUGAUCAGCCACACUGGGACUGAGACACGGCCCAGACUCCUACGGGAGGCAGCAGUAGGGAAUAUUGGACACUGGGCGCAAGCCUGAUCCAGCCAUGCCGCGUGAGUGAAGAAGGCCCUCGGGUUGUAAAGCUCUUUUGUCCGGGAAGAAAAGCAUCGGGCUAAUACCUCGGUGUUCUGACGGUACCGGAAGAAUAAGCACCGGCUAACUUCGU
Molecule: ribosomal RNA, 489 nt
Filed under: uncultured bacterium
Lineage: Bacteria
Description: partial 16S ribosomal RNA
Rfam family: Bacterial small subunit ribosomal RNA
Source: RNAcentral